RNAcentral lists this ribosomal RNA (452 nucleotides) under uncultured bacterium. Its description in RNAcentral is "bacterial SSU rRNA". It matches the Rfam family "Bacterial small subunit ribosomal RNA", at positions 32 to 524 of the family's 1533-position model. The record is from RNAcentral.
AAACGAAACGCUGGCGGCAUGCCUAACACAUGCAAGUCGAACGAGACCUUCGGGUCUAGUGGCGCACGGGUGCGUAACGCGUGGGAAUCUGCCCUUGGGUUCGGAAUAACAGUUGGAAACGACUGCUAAUACCGGAUGAUGACGUAAGUCCAAAGAUUUAUCGCCCAAGGAUGAGCCCGCGUAGGAUUAGCUAGUUGGUGAGGUAAAGGCUCACCAAGGCGACGAUCCUUAGCUGGUCUGAGAGGAUGAUCAGCCACACUGGGACUGAGACACGGCCCAGACUCCUACGGGAGGCAGCAGUGGGGAAUAUUGGACAAUGGCGAAAGCCUGAUCCAGCAAUGCCGCGUGAGUGAUGAAGGCCUUAGGGUUGUAAAGCUCUUUUACCCGGGAUGAUAAUGACAGUACCGGGAGGAAUAAGCUCCGGCUAACUCCGUGCCAGCAGCCGCGGUAAU